CUCCGCCCCCGUCGACCCGGCCGGCUCGCUGCUCCGCCACCACCCCCGGCCCAGCUCUAGCUGGCGCAGCGCACCGACCCCGUGUUCCACACCUGCUAUGCCCGGCCCGGCCCAGGCAGGCCCCCGCGACUCGUACCCUGCGCUGCCGCUGACAGACCGACCUGCACUGCACACUUCCCGCCGACUCCACCACCGGCUCCUCGCCGCCCCGCAGCAGCCCGGCCCGGCUCGCUUCCGGCCCGCGCCCCGCCCGCCGCCGCCACCUCACUUCCGCCAGCCGCGGCUGAGGGAAGGCCAUCGCCGGGUCAAGGGAACCGCUGGGCCAUGGGGCACCGGAGCGAAUCUGCCCCUCCUUUCAGCGAGGCACACUAGCAAGCAGGACCCCUGCUGGAAGAAGCUGCGAGCUGGCUAUUCAGCGAAGGCAUAAAAUCCAGACAAGGGGGUGGCAUCUGGAAAGGACAGAGAUGGUCACAGGAUCACAGAAUAUCAGGGGUUGGAAGGGACCCAAGGAGAUGAUCGAGUCCAACCCCCCUGCCACAGCAGGACAAUCCUAUCUAACAUAGAUCACAGAUGCUGUGCUAGGACAUGGACCGCCAACACUGGAUUAACCUUGCCUAUAAGCUAUGUUUCUGGGAGGAAGAGCAAGUACACGGUUCACAAAUAUACCAAAUAACAACCAAAUAUACCAAAUUUCAACCUGAUGGAUGCCAGAAUACCACUGUUUGAACAAAUACUGAGCAGAAUAAACAGGUUUAUCCCCUUUGGCUCCACG
Molecule: long non-coding RNA, 772 nt
Organism: Pogoniulus pusillus (Red-fronted tinkerbird)
Lineage: Eukaryota; Metazoa; Chordata; Aves; Piciformes; Lybiidae
Exons: 3
Source: RefSeq, a predicted model, not a curated record